GAUGAACGCUGGCGGCGUGCCUAAUACAUGCAAGUCGAGCGAACAGACGAGGAGCUUGCUCCUCUGACGUUAGCGGCGGACGGGUGAGUAACACGUGGAUAACCUACCUAUAAGACUGGGAUAACUUCGGGAAACCGGAGCUAAUACCGGAUAAUAUAUUGAACCGCAUGGUUCAAUAGUGAAAGACGGUUUUGCUGUCACUUAUAGAUGGAUCCGCGCCGCAUUAGCUAGUUGGUAAGGUAACGGCUUACCAAGGCAACGAUGCGCAUCCGACCUGAGAGGGUGAUCGGCCACACUGGAACUGAGACACGGUCCAGACUCCUAAGGGACGCAGCAGUAGCGAAUCUUCCGCAAUGGGCGAAAGCCUGGCGGAGCAACACCGCGUGAGUGAUGAAGGUCUUCGGUUCGUAAAACUCUGUUAUUAGGGAAGAACAGAUGUGUAAGUUGCUAUACACGUCUUGACGGUACCGAAUCAGAAAGCCACGGCUAACUACGUG
This 497-nucleotide ribosomal RNA is filed under the name uncultured bacterium. Its description in RNAcentral is "partial 16S ribosomal RNA". It matches the Rfam family "Bacterial small subunit ribosomal RNA", at positions 28 to 507 of the family's 1533-position model. The record is from RNAcentral.